GGGGAUUUAGCUCAGUGGCGUAGCACCUGCCUGGCAAGCACGCGGUCCUGAGUUCGAUCCUCAGUACCUA
RNAcentral lists this transfer RNA (70 nucleotides) under Cavia porcellus (domestic guinea pig). It matches the Rfam family "tRNA". Rfam says of the family: Transfer RNA (tRNA) molecules are approximately 80 nucleotides in length. Lineage: Eukaryota; Metazoa; Chordata; Mammalia; Rodentia; Caviidae. The record is from Rfam by way of RNAcentral.